UGGGAGCUCUUAUACCUCACAAAUGGGUAC
RNAcentral lists this non-coding RNA (30 nucleotides) under Rattus norvegicus (Norway rat). Lineage: Eukaryota; Metazoa; Chordata; Mammalia; Rodentia; Muridae. The record is from RNAcentral.